ACGUGUUUGGGGGAGUUCCGGUUGGAGCCAAACUCAUCCUCAGAGGUAGAGGCAUAUUCAGGAGGCAGCCGUCUCCACCGGUUAUUGGCUGAAAGGAGAGAGAGGUUUGCCUGCUGUUUCAGCAAUGGGCUCUGAAGGUUUUUUCACUUUGGCUUUGUCUGGAGAAGACUUGGGGGAUUUUAAGGGCUCUGCACAGGUGGGCUUCUUGCCCAGUUGAAGUUGGCUGGUGAACUUCUCAUGCUGACAGAAAGGAGGGAGAAGAACACAGCUUCCUAGAUCCUUCACUUUGUGCUCGUCACUGCUGGACUCAUAGUUGAUGACAGCGUGCUGCUUGUCUACACUACGAGACUGCAAUAACAGACAGGUAAAAAAGCAGGAGUUACUACCCUGAGACAGUUUGCGCUGAGCAUUAUCACUUCAUAGAUUUGUUAUUAUUAGAAGCUAGUUUAUAUGCAGUCACAGAAGUAUUUUACCUUGUAGCAAUGAUAGAAUUUGAAGGUGACAUAUCUCACGUUUGAAACAUACCAGACAUCGAAAGAGAAACGUUCUCUCACACAAGUAUUACAGAUUGGUUGUAGCCUCAAGUGAAGUCACAUCACAUUAGCGAAAUUUUGUGGACAAAAAAGUUCCAUUGUCUAUUGUCAAUAGCAUAGAGAUGUAUGCAGCAAAACCCACAAAGAACUCACUUUCAA
This is a long non-coding RNA of Rhinichthys klamathensis goyatoka, 692 nucleotides long. RefSeq lists it as uncharacterized. The transcript has 3 exons. The record is from RefSeq and is a predicted model, not a curated record. NCBI's taxonomy places the organism in Eukaryota, Metazoa, Chordata, Actinopteri, Cypriniformes, Leuciscidae.